RNAcentral lists this long non-coding RNA (295 nucleotides) under Homo sapiens (human). RNAcentral describes it as "non-protein coding lnc-DGKG-1:1". Lineage: Eukaryota; Metazoa; Chordata; Mammalia; Primates; Hominidae. The record is from RNAcentral.
UGGGGCAGAUCUACACCGGCCUGAAGAGUGCAGGCAGGAGGCUGGCCCAGUGCGCCUCUGUCACCAUCAGGACAAACAAGCUGCUGCCAAUGCAAGUGGAUGGAGAACCCUGGAUGCAGCCAUGUUGCACGGAGGAUCCCUUUUCCCCCAGAAAUUACUCAAUGCUGAAACCUCUCAAAGUGGUAUUAGAGACGCUGAAAGCACCAUGGACGGGUUUUAUGAUCAGCAAGUCCCUUUUAUGGUCCCAGGGAAAUCUCGAUCUGAGGAAUGCAGAGGGCGGCCUGUGAUUGACAGA